This is a non-coding RNA of Oryctolagus cuniculus (rabbit), 622 nucleotides long. NCBI's taxonomy places the organism in Eukaryota, Metazoa, Chordata, Mammalia, Lagomorpha, Leporidae. The record is from RefSeq and is a predicted model, not a curated record.
GAGUGUAUGGGAAAUCCAGAAACCCAUGCACAGGACCACAUGAAGACGGGUGCCUCUUGUCUCCUUACACGCUACACAGCAGUGAUCCGCAGCCUCCUGUUUUGCCAUGAGGGCUCAUUCCCCUCAGUGAAUUUGUACAACAUUCCUGUUUCCUGCAGGUGCCUGCUCAGAGGUGCAGUUCCAAAUAUUUGUCUCUUUUCCCUUUGGACUUCAUUGUUCUGCUCAUCCUCCCACCAAGGGAAGACAGUGAGAUGUGAAAACCAGGCUACAGGUCUUUUCACUGGGUGGGGAAGGCACUGCCAGAUGCCAGCUGGGCCACACAGAGCAUCUCCAGGUGGACUGAGCCUUUGUAGCCACGGCAAGGAGCAAGAAGAGUGACUGACUGUGGCGACAACAGCUGACAUCACCCGGCAGUAUUCAGGGACUGCCAGAGAGGUCAUUUCAGCUUCUCACUAUUUGAUAUUUUCUUCACACAACACAGCUUCUAAGCAAGAGCGGGUGUGCCUUAACAGGAAGAAGGAUCAGAAGUGGAGUAGCCAAGACUCAAACCAGCCACUCCAAUAUGGAAUGUGGGUCUCCUCUGCACCAUUCACCUACCCAAGAUUCUACACUUACAUUUCCU